This 382-nucleotide ribosomal RNA is filed under the name uncultured bacterium. RNAcentral's name for it is "bacterial SSU rRNA". It matches the Rfam family "Bacterial small subunit ribosomal RNA", at positions 28 to 441 of the family's 1533-position model. The record is from RNAcentral.
GACGAACGCUGGCGGUGUGCUUCACACAUGCAAGUCGAACGAGGUAGCAAUACCUAGUGGCGGACGGGUGAGUAACGCGUGGGAAUCUGCCUUUAGAUGGGGGAUAACGGUCGAAGACUCGCUAAUACCGCAUAUGACGAAAGUUGAAGGAGUAAUCCGUCUAAAGAUGAGCCCGCGUCCGAUUAGCUAGUUGGUAGGGUAACGGCCUACCAAGGGUACGAUGGGUAGGCUGGUCUGAGAGGAUGAUCAGCCACACUGGGACUGAGACACGGCCCAGACUCCUACGGGAGGCAGCAGUGGGGAAUAUUGGACAAUGGGCGAAAGCCUGAUCCAGCCACGCCGCGUGAGUGAUGAAGGCCUUGGUUGUAAAGCUCUGUCGGGA